This 440-nucleotide ribosomal RNA is filed under the name uncultured bacterium. RNAcentral's name for it is "partial 16S ribosomal RNA". It matches the Rfam family "Bacterial small subunit ribosomal RNA", at positions 338 to 795 of the family's 1533-position model. The record is from RNAcentral.
CCUACGUGUGGCUGCAGUGGGGAAUAUUUCACAAUGGGGGAAACCCUGAUGCAGCGACGCCGCGUGAGUGAAGCAGUAAUUCGUUAUGUAUAGCCCUAUCAGCAGGGAAGAAAAUGACGGUACCUGAUUCAGAAGCCUCGGCUAACUACGUGCCAGCAGCCGCGGUAAUACGUAGGGGGCCAGCGUUAUCCGGAUUUACUGGGUGUAAAGGGAGCGUAGACGGCAGGGCAAGUCUGGAGUGAAAGGCGGGGGCUCAACCCGCGGACUGCACUGGAAACUGUUCGGCUGGAGUGCAGGAGAGGUAAGUGGAAUUCCUAGUGUAGCGGUGAAAUGCGUAGAUAUUAGGAGGAACACCAGUGGCGAAGGCGGCUUACUGGACUGUAACUGACGUUGAGGCUCGAAAGCGUGGGGAGCAAACAGGAUUAGAUACCCGAGUAGUC